AUUCCAGCUCCAAUAGCGUAUAUUAAAGUUGUUGCGGUUAAAAAGCUCGUAGUUGGAUUUCUGCCGAGGAUGACCGGUCCGCCCUGUGGGUGUGCAUCUGGCUCAGCCUUGGCAUCUUCCUGAAGAACGUAGCUGCACUUGACUGUGUGGUGCGGUAUUUAGGACAUUUACUUUGAGGAAAUUAGAGUGUUUCAAGCAAGCGCACGCUUUGAAUACAUUAGCAUGGAAUAAUAAGAUAGGACUUUGGUGGUCUAUUUUGUUGGUUUGCACACCAAGGUAAUGAUUAAUAGGGACAGUUGGGGGUAACCGUAUUUCGUAGUCAGAGGUGAAAUUCUUGGAUUUACGAAAGACGAACUACUGCGAAAGCAUUUACCAAGGAUGUUUUCAUCG
This 390-nucleotide ribosomal RNA is filed under the name Biecheleria sp. RNAcentral describes it as "partial small subunit ribosomal RNA". It matches the Rfam family "Eukaryotic small subunit ribosomal RNA", at positions 582 to 975 of the family's 1831-position model. The record is from RNAcentral. Lineage: Eukaryota; Dinophyceae; Suessiales; Biecheleriaceae.